RNAcentral lists this unclassified non-coding RNA (510 nucleotides) under uncultured Glomus. RNAcentral's name for it is "SSU rRNA". It matches the Rfam family "Eukaryotic small subunit ribosomal RNA", at positions 569 to 1087 of the family's 1831-position model. The record is from RNAcentral. Lineage: Eukaryota; Fungi; Glomeromycota; Glomeromycetes; Glomerales; Glomeraceae.
AGCAGCCGCGGUAAUUCCAGCUCCAAUAGCGUAUAUUAAAGUUGUUGCAGUUAAAAGCUCGUAGUUGAAUUUCGAGAUCAAAUUGUUGGUCGUGCCUUGGUACGCACUGGCAUUAUUGGUUUCUCCCUUCUGACGAACCAUGAUGUCAUUAAUUUGGUGUCUUGGGGAAUCAGGACUGUUACUUUGAAAAAUUGAGUGUUUAAAGCAGGCUCACGCUUGAAUACAUUAGCAUGGAAUAAUGAAAUAGGACGUUUGAUUCUAUUUUGUUGGUUUCUAGGAUCGACGUAAUGAUUAAUAGGGAUAGUUGGGGGCAUUAGUAUUCAAUUGUCAGAGGUGAAAUUCUUGGAUUUAUUGAAGACUAACUACUGCGAAAGCAUUUGCCAAGGAUGUUUUCAUUAAUCAAGAACGAAAGUUAGGGAUCGAAGACGAUCAGAUACCGUCGUAGUCUUAACCAUAAACUAUGCCGACUAGGGAUCGGAUGAUGUUAAUUUUUUAAUGUACUUCAUUACC